Molecule: ribosomal RNA, 553 nt
Filed under: Bifidobacterium longum subsp. suillum
Lineage: Bacteria; Bacillati; Actinomycetota; Actinomycetes; Bifidobacteriales; Bifidobacteriaceae
Description: bacterial SSU rRNA
Rfam family: Bacterial small subunit ribosomal RNA
Source: RNAcentral
UCUCCUGGAAACGGGUGGUAAUGCCGGAUGCUCCAGUUGAUCGCAUGGUCUUCUGGGAAAGCUUUCGCGGUAUGGGAUGGGGUCGCGUCCUAUCAGCUUGACGGCGGGGUAACGGCCCACCGUGGCUUCGACGGGUAGCCGGCCUGAGAGGGCGACCGGCCACAUUGGGACUGAGAUACGGCCCAGACUCCUACGGGAGGCAGCAGUGGGGAAUAUUGCACAAUGGGCGCAAGCCUGAUGCAGCGACGCCGCGUGAGGGAUGGAGGCCUUCGGGUUGUAAACCUCUUUUAUCGGGGAGCAAGCGAGAGUGAGUUUACCCGUUGAAUAAGCACCGGCUAACUACGUGCCAGCAGCCGCGGUAAUACGUAGGGUGCAAGCGUUAUCCGGAAUUAUUGGGCGUAAAGGGCUCGUAGGCGGUUCGUCGCGUCCGGUGUGAAAGUCCAUCGCUUAACGGUGGAUCCGCGCCGGGUACGGGCGGGCUUGAGUGCGGUAGGGGAGACUGGAAUUCCCGGUGUAACGGUGGAAUGUGUAGAUAUCGGGAAGAACACCACAC